Molecule: long non-coding RNA, 2637 nt
Filed under: Homo sapiens (human)
Lineage: Eukaryota; Metazoa; Chordata; Mammalia; Primates; Hominidae
Description: HSALNT0339186
Source: RNAcentral
GGUUCCCGCCCGCGGCUCUCUCUCCACACAUCCCCGCAAGCUGAGGGAGCCAGCUCCGGCCUUGGCCAGCCCAGAAAAGGGCUCCCACAGUGCAGGGGCGGGCUGAAGGGCUCCUCAAGUGCCGCCAAAGUGGGAGCCCAGGCAGAGGAGGCGCCGAGAGCGAGCGAGGGCUGUGAGGACUGCCAGCACGCUGUCACCUCUCAGUCAGAGCCCACAGAUAAUAGCAACACACUAAGGUCCUCAAGGUACAUCGUUGGGAUCAAGCAACUUUGAUCCCAAGGAGAAGAAUAAAAACAAGAGGGACGACUGGGCCAAGGUGCCAUGUGAAGUGACCUGUGAGGAUCAACCCAGUGAAGAUGCUUGAGGAAGACAUGCUAGAGCAAAAACUACAACUCUGGUCCUCUUGGAUAUUUUAGAUAAGGACUUUACCCACAUAAAGAAGGUGUUGCCCUGGGGACUGGCUGAGAGAAAUUACAGUGGGGAAGCCAGAAUCUCUAGACAUGGGAAGAAGGGCUUAUGAGUUGUGUUCUGGUAGGUGUAAGAAAUGACUGUUACUCACUUCAAAAGAAACGGACUGCUACAGUGGUACUUACGUCACCAGAAAGAAACACUUCCACAAAGAAUUUGAUUUGAUGGCAUCAUGUGGACAUAGAACUCUCAUAGUAAUGACCCAACCUGUGUUUCCAGUCAUCCUGAUGAACUCUCAACAAAAUCAGAUUGUUAUACUGUUGUUCUCACUUUACACCGAUAUUUUCUCUUGCUCCUAAAAAAAGUAUCUGGUAUUAAAUAGAAUUCUGUAUCUUAAAAAACUUGCCAUUGAGAAAAAUGAGAAGUAACUGUACAUUUUAAUACUGAAGGUUUUAAUAAAAAAAGCAGUGUGAACUAUCUGUUCCAUUUUUAUUCCUCGUCUACAAAAGACAAAAGUGUCAGUAUUGAGACAAUUGCUUGAUAACAGGGAUCACAAAUAUUGCUCUUCCUGAAAUUUUUGCAAACUUGAGGUUUACUUUCUUUAAGAUUUCUGGGCAAUUCUGUUAGGAUAAAGUGCAAAUCCUAUAAAUGAAAGGGUUACAACUGAGAUAAUUAAACUGAUCAUUGGAGCAAAAAUAUUUUCCCCUGGAGCAAUUACUAAAUUAAGGUUUACUUCAUUUUGCUUGAAAUAGUAAAUUUGUUACCUCUCCAGUUUAGUUUAUUAGUAUAAAUUAGACAUGACAUAAAUGAGAACUAUGUCAAGCUAAUGAAUUUCAUUGGAAGUUGGCUAUUGAAAGUUAGAAAGAAAUGAAAAAUAACUCAUAAUAAAUUCAUCUAACAUGUCUUUUGCCUCCUACUCCGCAACAUGGCCUUUGUCUGACAUUUCUAGAAGAGCAGGUAUUCCAAGUCAGUUAAUUUUAGUUAGUGAAAUUUUUUCUUUCAAGCAGCCAAUUAUUUUGACAAAAAUAUAUCCAUCACUGCCAUCAACUGAGGUUAGGAGAAAACUUACUUAAGCACAGUGAAAACAGUGGAUUGAAGACCAUGAAAAGCGGGCCCAGGAGGCCCAAGGCAUCUAGCGCCAAGAGUAGGGGGAAUGUGAAAUAAAUUUGAGAAAGAACCUCUUGAAACUAUGUUCCCCUGCUUUCUCAAAUGGUAUAUAUUUGAUGUAACUUAAUCCCUGCACGAUUAGAGUCAACACUAUAAACAACCGUAAAAACUGCACUGUAAUACAGUUAUACAUAGGAGUUUUGCAGUUAUGUAAAAUACUAAAUAAAUCAUAUUCCACCUUUUUAAAAUGUAUCUAUUUUCAGUUGUGUACAUUGUUAUACUAGUUUUCUAUAUCUUCCCUCACCAACAAGUUGUCCACUCUAAAUUUGUUCUGCUGACAAUAUGUUUCUGGCUGUAGCCUACCUAAAGCCUUCUCACGUUUUGUUUCAAAUACAAGCUGAGAUAUUAGGUAAGUCAUAAUGACAUUAGCUGUGUAUUUACUUGCAAUAGAAAAAACUUUCACACUUAUUCUAUAUUCUCUUGUUUUAUUCAGAUAGCUUUGAGUUGGAUUUGUGUUGGUUUAUUGAGAAGUAAAUGGAUUAGUACUUAGAAUUCAUUAGGACACACUUACAAUCAUGUCCAAAGUAACAUUAAAUAAAGAAUAAAAGAAGCUCUCCUUUGAGUUACAUGCAUGGAUUUUAGUACAUGAGUUUUGUGGCAUCUUUCGGCUAAUUCAUAGCAUGUUUUUUUUAUAUUGAAGUUUCCAUCCAUAGUUUGUAAUGGAGGUUAUUUUACUAUUUAUUAAUGGUGCUGAGGAUUUAAAGGAUAUAUAGAAUAAGGGAGCUUGGAAUAUUGAGUUCCAUUUAAAUAAUCAUAAAAGUAACAGACCAUUGGGGGAGAUUAAAAGCCAGCCGAACUUGCUUUGAAAUGUUCUAUUUCUACAAUAUUAGAAAUGUUGGAUUCUCAAAGACUUGCAACCGUAAAUCAUAUUUCCCAGAAGUAAAGCUUUUUGAGGGUAUUCAGGCUGCUAGAAAAACAAACACACAUCAAGAGUGGCCUUCAAAAAGACAGAGGAGGGUGUAUUGUCAGGGGGCGCAGCAACAGACAGAAGGCAGUUGCCAUGUAAGGAAGACACUUCCGUCACACCUUCUCAGGGUUUUACUACUGUAAUAUUGAAAUAAA